RNAcentral lists this ribosomal RNA (592 nucleotides) under uncultured fungus. Its description in RNAcentral is "eukaryotic LSU rRNA". It matches the Rfam family "Eukaryotic large subunit ribosomal RNA", at positions 40 to 647 of the family's 3401-position model. Lineage: Eukaryota; Fungi. The record is from RNAcentral.
AUAUCAAUAAGCGGAGGAAAAGAAACCAACAGGGAUUGCCUCAGUAACGGCGAGUGAAGCGGCAACAGCUCAAAUUUGAAAUCUGGCUCUUUUAGGGUCCGAGUUGUAAUUUGUAGAGGAUGCUUCGGCGUCGGCUCCGGUCUAAGUUCCUUGGAACAGGACGUCAUAGAGGGUGAGAAUCCCGUAUGUGAUCGGUUGCCCUUGCCAUGUGAAGCUCCUUCGACGAGUCGAGUUGUUUGGGAAUGCAGCUCUAAAUGGGAGGUAAAUUUCUUCUAAAGCUAAAUACUGGCCAGAGACCGAUAGCGCACAAGUAGAGUGAUCGAAAGAUGAAAAGCACUUUGGAAAGAGAGUCAAAAAGUACGUGAAAUUGUUGAAAGGGAAGCGCUUGCAACCAGACCUGCCUGCAGUUGCUCAUCCGGGCUUUUGCCCGGUGCACUCUUCUGCUGUCAGGCCAGCAUCAGUCCGGGCGGUCGGAUAAAGGCUUCGGGAAUGUAGCUCCUCUCGAGGAGUGUUAUAGCCCGUUGCGAAAUGCGGCCAGCCUGAACUGAGGUCCGCGCUUCGGCUAGGAUGCUGGCGUAAUGGUUGUAAGCGG